RNAcentral lists this long non-coding RNA (212 nucleotides) under Elaeis guineensis (African oil palm). RNAcentral's name for it is "long non-coding RNA (EGUI_LNC068911)". Lineage: Eukaryota; Viridiplantae; Streptophyta; Magnoliopsida; Arecales; Arecaceae. The record is from RNAcentral.
GGGAAGAACUUUUCUUUUCUAUUUUUUACUGUAAAAUUAGAAAAAGGGCUUCUCUUUGAUGUUCUAGAACCAGCAAGCAAAGGCCAUGAAAACCCUUUCGAAAAAGCCCUUGGCAUGGAGGAUUAGGAGGAGCCUUAGUUGGAUGCCCCACCUCCUAAAUUAAUGGCGACACAUAGAAAAGGGGAGGGAUGCCAAAAAUUCAUGAGAGAGGG